RNAcentral lists this ribosomal RNA (841 nucleotides) under Staphylococcus sp. 14(2011). RNAcentral's name for it is "bacterial SSU rRNA". It matches the Rfam family "Bacterial small subunit ribosomal RNA", at positions 54 to 875 of the family's 1533-position model. The record is from RNAcentral. Lineage: Bacteria; Bacillati; Bacillota; Bacilli; Caryophanales; Staphylococcaceae.
CAUGCAAGUCGAGCGAACAGAUGAGAAGCUUGCUUCUCUGAUGUUAGCGGCGGACGGGUGAGUAACACGUGGGUAACCUACCUAUAAGACUGGGAUAACUCCGGGAAACCGGGGCUAAUACCGGAUAAUAUUUUGAACCGCAUGGUUCAAUAGUGAAAGACGGUUUCGGCUGUCACUUAUAGAUGGACCCGCGCCGUAUUAGCUAGUUGGUAAGGUAACGGCUUACCAAGGCGACGAUACGUAGCCGACCUGAGAGGGUGAUCGGCCACACUGGAACUGAGACACGGUCCAGACUCCUACGGGAGGCAGCAGUAGGGAAUCUUCCGCAAUGGGCGAAAGCCUGACGGAGCAACGCCGCGUGAGUGAUGAAGGUCUUCGGAUCGUAAAACUCUGUUGUUAGGGAAGAACAAAUUUGUUAGUAACUGAACAAGUCUUGACGGUACCUAACCAGAAAGCCACGGCUAACUACGUGCCAGCAGCCGCGGUAAUACGUAGGUGGCAAGCGUUAUCCGGAAUUAUUGGGCGUAAAGCGCGCGUAGGCGGUUUCUUAAGUCUGAUGUGAAAGCCCACGGCUCAACCGUGGAGGGUCAUUGGAAACUGGGAAACUUGAGUGCAGAAGAGGAGAGUGGAAUUCCAUGUGUAGCGGUGAAAUGCGCAGAGAUAUGGAGGAACACCAGUGGCGAAGGCGGCUCUCUGGUCUGUAACUGACGCUGAUGUGCGAAAGCGUGGGGAUCAAACAGGAUUAGAUACCCUGGUAGUCCACGCCGUAAACGAUGAGUGCUAAGUGUUAGGGGGUUUCCGCCCCUUAGUGCUGCAGCUAACGCAUUAAGCACUCCGCCUG